Pelobates cultripes (western spadefoot toad) is the source of this 3545-nucleotide non-coding RNA. The record is from the annotation of a GenBank genome assembly. Lineage: Eukaryota; Metazoa; Chordata; Amphibia; Anura; Pelobatidae.
AGAAUGUCCAUACGGCACCUAUGGGAUGGAGUGCAGGAGAACCUGCAACUGUCAGUCUGGCAUAUGUGACAGAGUGACAGGAAAGUGCCUAAAAUUUCCAUUCUUUCAACUUACUGGGGGCAAGUCAGCAAGUAAACUAAGGCUUGUUUCUCAUACAGGUACGUAAUUAAAACAUGUAUUUGUGGUUUAACGAGGACUUUCACUUCCCAGAUUUUUAACGUUGUAUGUCUGGUGAGAAAAAUAAAACUUCAAGUAGAAAUUCACACAUCUUAAUCCUGUAAUGGAGCAGCGCCGUCUUAGCUUUUUUGCCUUGUCUCAAUUGGAUUGUGAUUUAAUUUCCUCUCCUCGUUUCACAGUCCAACACCUAGUCCAGUGGUACAGAGUCAUACACUGAACGCAAAUAUGUUCUCUUAAAAAGGAAAAAGAAAUCAGUUUUACGGUUCCCUUUUACAACAGCACUUGAUAUGGGACUACUAUGAACUGCUUUUUCUGCUAAUGAAUACUAUGAGAGGUAUUCACUAUAGUCCGAAGGGCCACAUACCAAAUUGGACAAAACCAUACAGUUCUGUACAGGUCCAGUCAAAUUGCAAAAUCCAGACAAUAUGCACAAUAUGUAUAAAUGUCCACACUUCAAAUAAGCAUAUAAUAAGGCUCACUAAAGAAAGAAAACAUAGAUAAUAUUAUAACGUUAUCUAUCCAUUAGUGUUGCAAACAAUAUAUUGUAUAUGUUUUAUAAUAAUGCAAAUAAAGGUUGUUGUAAACUCAGUACUAAAAAAAUAUCAUAUAUAUAUAUAUAUAUAUAUAUAUAUAAAUUGCCCAUGUGUGCAAAUUAAAAUAUUAAUUUGUACUCCUGACUUUAGUUGGAUUUUAUUUUCAAUGCUCAUCCAAACAUUCUCACUUCUGUAUAUUGUUCUUUUUCGAAUCUUCCAAGCAGUCAUUAGUCUUUUAUCGAAUGCUAAUGCCUUCAGUGGGAUAUUAGACAAUGAUAUUGUAAAAAUUCUGCACCUAUGAGCAUGGAUUACGUUUUGUCUGUUUGUUGCAUUCCAUAGCCCCUGGAAUGGCAAAAAACAUAGAAGUCUCCAAACUUCCUAAACUCCUGUCCUCUUUCCAAUUAGUCACGAUCCCUCAAUAUCAUAUUUCAUAUUUAGCCUCCUCUCCUCAUUUCACAGUCCAACACCCAGUCCAGUAGUACAGAGUCAUCCACUGAACGCAAAUAUGUUCUCUUACCAUGUGGAUGCACUUGUAGGUUGCCAAGAUGUUUCUAAUACCGAUUAGAAAAAUAUGUCUCAUUAUGAAAUGCUUUGAUGUGCUAACUAUUUUUUUAUCAUUUUAUUUUUUCUUUUAGCACACUCUGCAGUUAAUUAGAAACAUAGAAACAUAGAAUGUGACGGCAGAUAAGAACCAUUUGGCCAUCUAGUCUGCCCAAUUUUCUAAAUACUUUCAUUAGUCCCUAGCCUUAUCUUAUAGUUAGGAUAGCCUUAUGCCUAUCCCACACAUGCCUAAACUCUUUUACUGUGUUAACCUCUACCACUUCAGCUGGAAGGCUAUUCCAUGCAUCCACUACCCUCUCAGUAAAGUAAUACUUCCUGAUAUUAUUUUUAAUCCUUUGUCCCUCUAAUUUAAGACUAUGUCCUCUUGUUGUGGUAGUUUUUCUUCUUUUAAACAUAGUCUCCUCCUUUACUGUGUUGAUUCCCUUUAUAUAUUUAAAUGUUUCUAUCAUAUCCCCCCUGUCUCGUCUUUCCUCCAAGCUAUACAUGUUAAGAUCCUUUAACCUUUCCUGGUAAGUUUUAUCCCGCAACCCAUGAACCAGUUUAGUAGCCCUUCUCUGAACCCUCUCUAAGGUAUCAAUAUCCUUCUGGUGAUACGGUCUCCAGUACUCCAAUUAUAGUCAAUAAACUUCCCUAUGCAAGAUCAUUCAAGCUGGAAAAAUCAGGAAGCCCUCAUAGCUGUCCCCUGGUGCCAUCCCACCAUUCAACGUUAAACCAUUUUUAAUGUUUUAAUGGUAAACAAGAAUUUCUAACAGCCUAUCCCCUUGGUCCUGCUUGGGAUAAUAAGCCCGAGCAGCUGUGAGCGGCUGUGAUUGGCUGAGAAUGCCAAGUUACUGUGUUCAGCCUAACACAGCGCUCAUUGCUAGUAUGAACUGGUAUGGUUAGAAGGAAAUUAGUUAACUAUGCCUUAGCCAUGCCACCAGUGAGCCUUUUUAAGGGUAUUAAAUUGCUUGAAAAUGGUUGAAAACUGAAUGGAAAGACAACUGCAGGGACUAUAACCAAGUCAAUGAGAUUAAAAAGUUAUAGUGCAUACUUUCAAGUACUAUAAGUUAUAGUGCAUACUUUUAAGUACUUUUAAGGGUCUAGAGAGUCCCUUUAAGAUACAGCAUGUCAAUAAUUGUAAUUGUUUUUUUUUUUGUUUUUUUUAAAUAUCACAUUUGUAUUUUAUUUUCUUAAUUUUUGUUUAGAUUCCGACACUUCUUCUGGUGAUGGAAACAAUCUCAAAGAAGAAUUUGUAAAAGAGAAAACUGUCCGAUCACCUGGAAUAAAAUGGCUAAAUCCACGCUGAUUUAAAAAAAAAAAAAUGUAAGGACUUUUGAAUGGAUUAAGUGCUUAUUUGUUUCUAAAUACGGCAAAUGAAAAGCACCAGAACAACCUGGAUUUGUAAUAAAACUCUGAAGAUUUCAGCACAUUGAUUAAUUUAUAAUAUGCAAGAAAGCAUUAAUGACUUCAGAGUUUAUGCAAGAAGUUUGUUCUAUGAUGCAAAAAUUCUUAUCAAUCUUUUGUAAAUUUAAAGUAAUAUAAAAUUAUUUUGGAUCAAUUUCAAAGGUUUUUCAAUUGUCUUGUAAAGGUGAUAUAAUUCUUCUGUGUAUUUAAAACAAAUAGCUUUAUUUUUGUCUGUGUAAGCUCUUCAUUUGAAUUUUUUUUUAUGUAAAUAAAUUUUCUGGAAUGGUUAUAUUUCUUAUGUCAUAUGUUUAUGAACUAGAGCUAUUAUUAUCCUACUAAUCAAUUUAUAAAUCAUGCCGCCUGACAUUGGGAAGAAUGAAUAUUGCACAAGGACACAUGGGCCGCAAGGGGUCACAACCACGGAAAAGGGGUCAACCAUAUGGAGUAGGACUGGGUCGACCAAAGGAGGUUGGGGCUUAGAUGGCAUGCCCAAUUAAAUGGCAGCUAUGACGGAUUGCCUCAGUUGAGGUUGUUCAUAUAUGCAGAGCACUUCUUCAUAUGGAUUUAAUGCCCUGGCUUUGCUUUACCUGGGGCAAGCAUGUCUAAUGAUGCACUUGUGAUGUGCUUUCUGGGAAAUUGGUUUCUGAAACGCAGGACACCAGUUAGCAAAGUUGAGCAGUCAGAAGCUCCAACUCACAAUUAUUGUGAGAUAAGAUGCUUUCUUAAACUGAUUUUUGGAACAGGUGUCUAUAAAGGGAAAUAAUGGCUCUUACAAAAUUACAAUAACAUAUCAAAUACACAAAGUGAAUAAAGGAAUUUCAGGAUAUUUUGUGACUGUGAAGUUACCAAGACAGUUUUGUAUACAAAACUAAAAUGUGAUAUUAAGUGGAG